This 402-nucleotide ribosomal RNA is filed under the name uncultured bacterium. RNAcentral describes it as "bacterial SSU rRNA". It matches the Rfam family "Archaeal small subunit ribosomal RNA", at positions 339 to 740 of the family's 1478-position model. The record is from RNAcentral.
GCGCGAAAACUUUACAAUGCUGGCAACAGCGAUAAGGGAACCUCGAGUGCCAGGUUACAAAUCUGGCUGUCGAGAUGCCUAAAAAAGCAUUUCAUAGCAAGGGCCGGGCAAGACCGGUGCCAGCCGCCGCGGUAACACCGGCGGCUCGAGUGGUAACCGUUAUUAUUGGGUCUAAAGGGUCUGUAGCCGGCCGGAUAAGUCUCUUGAGAAAUCUGGCAGCUUAACUGUCAGGCUUUCAGGAGAUACUGUCUGGCUCGAGGCCGGGAGAGGUGAGAGGUACUUCAGGGGUAGGGGUGAAAUCUUGUAAUCCUUGAAGGACCACCAGUGGCGAAGGCGUCUCACCAGAACGGACCUGACGGCAAGGGACGAAAGCUAGGGGCACGAACCGGAUUAGAAACCCCU